GACGAACGCUGGCGGCGUGCUUAACACAUGCAAGUCGAACGGAAAGGCCCUGCUUGCAGGGUACUCGAGUGGCGAACGGGUGAGUAACACGUGGGUGAUCUGCCCUGCACUUCGGGAUACGCUUGGGAAACUGGGUCUAAUACCGGAUAGGAGCCAUCGUUAGUGUGGUGGUUGGAAAGUUUUUUCGGUGUAGGAUGAGCUCGCGGCCUAUCAGCUUGUUGGUGGGGUAAUGGCCUACCAAGGCGGCGACGGGUAGCUGGCCUGAGAGGGUGUACGGCCACAUUGGGACUGAGAUGCGGCCCAGACUCCUACGGGAGGCAGCAAGGGGGAAUAUUGCACAAUGGGCGCAAGCCUGAUGCAGCGACGCCGCGUGGGGGAUGAAGGCCUUCGGGUUGUAAACUCCUUUCGCUAGGGACGAAGCUUUUUUGUGACGGUACCUAGAGAAGAAGCACCGGCUAACUACGUG
RNAcentral lists this ribosomal RNA (466 nucleotides) under uncultured bacterium. RNAcentral's name for it is "partial 16S ribosomal RNA". It matches the Rfam family "Bacterial small subunit ribosomal RNA", at positions 28 to 507 of the family's 1533-position model. The record is from RNAcentral.